UAGGGAAUAUUGGGCAAUGGAGGCAACUCUGACCCAGCAACACCGCGUGAAUGAUGAAGGUCUUCGGAUUGUAAAGUUCUGUGAUGGGGGACGAAAACAAUGACGGUACCCCAAGAGCAAGCCACGGCUAACUACGUGCCAGCAGCCGCGGUAAUACGUAGGUGGCAAGCGUUGUCCGGAAUGACUGGGCGUAAAGGGUGCGUAGGUGGCUAUUCAAGUUAGUAGUGAAAUCCCGGGGCUCAACUCCGGUGCUACUACUAAGACUGUUUAGCUUGAGUGCAGGAGGGGCAAGUGGAAUUCCUAGUGUAGCGGUGGAAUGCGUAGAUAUUAGGAGGAACACCAGUGGCGAAGGCGACUUGCUGGACUGUAACUGACACUGAGGUACGAAAGCGUGGGGAGCAAACAGG
Molecule: ribosomal RNA, 407 nt
Filed under: uncultured bacterium
Lineage: Bacteria
Description: bacterial SSU rRNA
Rfam family: Bacterial small subunit ribosomal RNA
Source: RNAcentral